Pygocentrus nattereri (red-bellied piranha) is the source of this 2822-nucleotide long non-coding RNA. NCBI's taxonomy places the organism in Eukaryota, Metazoa, Chordata, Actinopteri, Characiformes, Serrasalmidae. The record is from Ensembl.
CAUCAUGUAUGUGUCCACCUUGUCUUUAUCUACCAUCCUGUAUGUGUCCACCAUGUCUCUAUCUACCGUACUGUAUGUGCCCACCAUGUCUUUAUCUGCCGUCCUGUAUGUGUUCACCAUGUCUCUAUCUACCAUCCUGUUUGUGUCCAACAUGUCUCUAUCUACCAUCCUGUUUGUGUCCACCAUGUCUCUAUCUACCAUCCUGUUUGUGUCCACCAUGUCUCUAUCUACUGUCCUGUAUGUGUCCACCCUGUUCUCUAUCUGCUGUCCUGUAUGUGUCCACCCUGUUCUGUAAUAACUGUCCUGUAUGUGUCCACCAUGUCUCUAUCUACCAUCCUGUUUGUGUCCACCAUGUUCUCUAUCUGCUGUCCUGUAUGUGUCCACCAUGUCUCUAUCUACCGUCCUGCAUGUGUCCACCAUGUCUUUAUCUGCCGUCCUGUAUGUGUUCACCAUGUCUCUAUCUACCAUCCUGUUUGUGUCCACCAUGUCUCUAUCUACCAUCCUGUUUGUGUCCACCAUGUCUCUAUCUACCGUCCUGUUUGUGUCCACCAUGUCUCUAUCUACCGUCCUGUAUGUGUUCACCAUGUCUCUAUCUACAUUCCUGUUUGUGUCCACCAUGUCUCUAUCUACUGUCCUGUAUGUGUCCACCCUGUUCUCUAUCUGCUGUCCUGUAUGUGUCCACCCUGUUCUGUAAUAACUGUCCUGUAUGUGUCCACCAUGUCUCUAUCUACCAUCCUGUUUGUGUCCACCAUGUUCUCUAUCUGCCAUCCUGUAUGUGUCCACCAUGUCUCUAUCUACCAUCCUGUAUGUGUCCACCCUGUUCUCUAUCUGCCGUCCUGUUUGUGUCCACCCUGUUCUGUAUCUACUGUCUUGUAUGUGUCCACCAUGUCUCUAUCUACUGUCCUGUUUGUGUCCACCAUGUCUCUAUCUACUGUCCUGUAUGUGUCCACCAUGUCUCUAUCUACCGUCCUGUAUGUGUCCACCAUGUCUUUAUCUACCAUCCUGUAUGUGUCCACCAUGUCUCUAUCUACCGUCCUGUAUGUGUCCACCAUAUCUUUAUCUACGGUCCUGUAUGUGUCCACCAUGUCUCUAUUUACUGUCCUGUUUGUGUCCACCAUGUCUCUAUCUCUAUCUGCCAUGCUGUAUGUGUCCACCAUGUCUCUAUCUGCUGUCCUGUAUGUGGCCACCCUGUUCUCUAUCUACCAUCCUGUUUGUGUCCACUCUGUUCUCUAUCUGCUGUCCUGUAUGUGUCCACCAUGUCUCUAUCUACUGUCCUGCAUGUGUCCACCAUGUCUCUAUCUGCCAUCCUGUAUGUGUCCACCCUGUUCUCUAUCUGCCGUCCUGCAUGUGUCCACCCUGUUCUGUAAUAACUGUCCUGCAUGUGUCCACCAUGUCUCUAUCUGCCAUCCUGUAUGUGUCCACCAUGUCUCUAUCUACCGUCCUGUAUGUGUCCACCCUGUUCUCUAUCUGCCGUCCUGUAUGUGUCCACCCUGUUCUGUAUCUACCGUCCUGUAUGUGUCCACCAUGUCUCUAUCUACCAUCCUGUUUGUGUCCAUCAUGUCUCUAUCUACCAUCCUGUUUGUGUCCACCAUGUCUCUAUCUCCAUUCUUGUAUGUGUCUGCCAUGUCUCUAUCUACCAUCCUGUAUGUGUCCACCAUGUCUCUAUCUACCGUCCUGUAUGUGUCCACCAUGUAUUUAUCUACCGUCCUGUUUGUGUCCACCUUGUCUUUAUCUACCGUCCUGUAUGUGUCCACCAUGUCUCUGUCUACCGUCCUGUAUGUGUCCACCAUGUCUCUAUCUACCGUCCUGUAUGUGUCCACCAUGUCUCUAUCUACACAUCUGUUUGUGUCCACCCUGUUCUCUAUCUACCAUCCUGUAUGUGUCCACCAUGUCUCUAUUUACUGUCCUGUUUGUGUCCACCAUGUCUCUAUCUCUAUCUGCCAUCCUGUAUGUGUCCACCAUGUCUCUAUCUGCUGUCCUGUAUGUGGCCACCCUGUUUUCUAUCUACCAUCCUGUUUGUGUCCACUCUGUUCUCUAUCUGCUGUCCAGUAUGUGUCCACCAUGUCUCUAUCUACUGUCCUGCAUGUGUCCUCCAUGUCUCUAUCUGCCAUCCUGUAUGUGUCCACCCUGUUCUCUAUCUGCCGUCCUGUAUGUGUCCACCCUGUUCUGUAUCUACUGUCCUGUUUGUGUCCACCAUGUCUCUAUCUGCUGUCCUGUAUGUGUCCACCCUGUUCUGUAAUAACUGUCCUGUAUGUGUCCACCAUGUCUCUAUCUACCAUCCUGUUUGUGUCCACCAUGUCUCUAUCUACCAUCCUGUUUGUGUCCAACCUUUUCUCUAUCUGCUGUCCUGUAUGUGUCCACCAUGUCUCUAUCUACCAUCCUGCAUGUGUCCACCAUGUCUCUAUCUGCCAUCCUGUAUGUGUCCACCAUGUCUCUAUCUACCGUCCUGUAUGUGUCCACCCUGUUCUCUAUCUGCCGUCCUGUAUGUGUCCACCCUGUUCUGUAUCUACCGUCCUGUAUGUGUCCACCAUGUCUCUAUCUACCAUCCUGUUUGUGUCCAUCAUGUCUCUAUCUACCAUCCUGUUUGUGUCCACCAUGUCUCUAUCUGCCAUCCUGUAUGUGUCCACCAUGUCUCUAUCUACCGUCCUGUAUGUGUUCACCAUGUCUCUAUCUACCAUCCUGUUUGUGUCCAUCAUGUCUCUAUCUACCAUCCUGUUUGUGUCCACCAUGUCUCUAUCUGCCAUCCUGUAUGUGUCCACCAUGUCUCUAUCUACCAUCCUGUUUGUGUCCACCAUGUCUCUAUCUGCCAUCCUGUAUGUGUC